UUUUUUUUUGUUUCAUUUUAAAUUGCACUCCUUAACCUGUCCCUAUUGUUUAAUGUUCCCCUGAAGAACCUUCUUAUCUUUCCCACGGUACUCCCCGUUGCCCUCUCAAAUGGUGUCAAUGCCCUCACUGUCCUCCACUGCACUCUGAAUCAAAGUCUUCAUUGCCUCUUUGAGGUGGUCUCAGUUGAGAAUAAGAGGAAAUUAGCCAAUUAAACUAUUAACUAAGCUAAGAAUUUCUGAUAGUUAAGUGACAAAAUAAAAACAACGCAAACAAGGUUUUUGAUCAGAGCUGUCUUCCUGCCAUUCUCUAAAUAAUUGCAGUUAGGCUCUUUCAGCUUUCUUUUGAUACUGCAAACAGAAUAGAGGUCUCCAAUACUAGCUUUUGGUCAGAGGUAAUGAUACAGGAUAAAGAUGGUGAACUCAAUAGUUUUUGAGAAACCAUUAUCACAUUUCAAGGAAUUUUAAAGGCUAUCAUUUAUAAAAUGCAUUCCUAUUUCAGGAAUGUUAAGCUAUGAGCAAGGUGUGCCGUAAAUUCUACCAAAAUGUGGCAUUGGGUUGGUACACUGUGGGGAAACAGCAGGGGAGUGGAGUGAGUGGUGAAAUUUAAUUGAGACUAGGUUCAAGCUCCAAUUGUGCCCCUUACUAGCUAUGAGACCCUCAGCAAAGUGUUUAACUUCUUUGAGCCUGAACAUCCUCAUCUGAAAGCUGGAGAUAAUAUUAGCUACGGGGUUAUUAGAUGUUUUACAUAAGCUAUUGUACAUGAACUAUCUUGACACAUAGCAGGUUCUCAGUGGGUGUUAACUGAAUUUGAAUCUGCUUUUUAAGCACCCUGUGGCCUCGAGGAAAGAAAAUCUGUCCUAUCAAAAGGAUUGAUAGAGAACUCUCUGGUUGGGAGAGAAAAGGCUUCAUCUGUCAAUGCUUGAUCUGCUUUGGACUAUUUUUGACUUGAUAAUAAUUUGCUUGUUAUUCCUUGAUUCAUCUAUUCCUUCAUUCAAUUGUUAUUUUAGUGUUCCCUACUUUUUGUCAGGCAAUAGGGUUUAAAAAGAUGAAUAAGACAUGGUGGUUUCCACAGAUCGUAGAACCUCGUAGAGAAAGAAAGGUAUGUAACCAAAUAACUGAGAACGAUUAAACUAUUCAUUAAAAAUUUGCAACCCUUUCCAUUAAAGAAACAAUUAAAAAAAUAAGAUAGAGUCCCCAAAUCUUCUAUGAUUUGUAAAUUAUUAUAGAAGUAUGGGUGAUCCAAACUAUAUCAAAAACAAAAUUUCCUCUUUCAACUUUUCCCUCUUGUUAGAGUUAAUUUUGACAUUGGCAUCAGGACACAUUUUGUUUAUCUUUCGCUCUCACACUACAUCUGUUACCUUCUCUGUUAGGCAAGUAUAGAAAGUAAAUCACCAGGCAAGAAACAAUAAGCUCAGCAUACAUUUGAAACCAAGCAAGAAUCUGAAACCAAGUUGGUAGACAUAAUUUUAGUUCUACCUGUGUUCAUAAUGCUUUGCAUAUGGAAUACUGUAUCUAUAGAACUUUUAGCAGUUUUUUGGCCGGGCAGCAUGGCACAGUGGGAAAAUAUAGGCAUAGAAUAAGUUUAAAUUUUGGUUUUACCACUUAUUAAUUGUAUGGGAAACUCUUUUAACCUCAUUGACUCUAUUUCCUUAUUUGUGAAAAUGAGUGAUAGUAAUACUUAUAAUAGGAUUAUAGUGAACAUAUAUGCCCACACAUAUGACUUCAACAAAUAUAAGUUAUUAUUAAAACCUUAAGACAAAAAAGAAAGUAUAUUUUGAGCCCUUGGAUAACUGUACAAAGUACUCAAAUGCUUUAAUAUAAAUCAUAUAUAUUAGAGGCAGAAUUUGACUUGAUUAUAUUAAGCUGGCAAAUGGUUAUUAAGGUUGUUUUAACUUGGGACACCUACUGUGACAAGGUCAUUACAAGGUGUAAAUGCCUAGUAAGAGUGGUGAACUCUGGGAACCAGGCUGGACAUAGAUUGGAGCCAGUCAAGAUGGGAGUGUGGAGUGGGAGAUUAAGCUCUGCCUAUUUGAGGAGAAAUAUCCACAUAUUUGGAGUUCUUUUGUAAGGAAGAAUUGUCUUCUUCUUAGUUAAUUUAUUAGUUAAUUAAUUUUUAUUCAUUCAUUUAUAUUAGUAUGGAGUCAUGCAUAUUUUAUAUUUUAGGUAAAAAGCUAUGUUCUUUAUUUUGCUGUUUAAAUUGCUCCAACUUUGUCCAUGGGGAACUCUUUCAGGUUGUUUCCUGGCCUCUUUGAUGUGUUCUGACCCUUUGUUUUUCUGAGCACUUCUUUGCUUUUGGGGAUUAUAAAGUGCUCUAGGCUCAUCUUGUUUUUUCUCUCUGCUCCAGUUGUAAAAUCAGCCAUCUCUCCAAAGAGCCCUGGUUCCUUUUGUUAAGGAAUGGUAUAUAGAAACCAAAAUCUGGGUCCUGUGUGUGCUCAAUAAAUAUUUUCUGAGCAUUUCUAUCAGCUUGGCACAGUUCUGGGUGCUAGAGAUACAACAGCAAAGUUCUCUGGAUCUCAUAGAAUUUAUAUUCUAAUAGAUCAUGAAAUACUAUGAACAAAAUGAUACCAUGUUCAUGAUGCUAUGAACAAAACAUCUAGAAUAAUAUUUGGCUUAUAACAGGGGUUCAAUAAAUGUCAAUAACUCCUUCCCAACUCUCCCUCACUAUACUUGCUCUAAAGUUGUUCAAACCCCUUUUUAAGGGAUUGGAGCUAACUGGGCUGUGCCGAGGGCUAGAGUCUCAUGCAAGAGUGGGUGUAGAGAUUACUGCUAUUGCCGGGCUACAUAACACAUACGUUCUUCAAAGCAUGUUUGAAGUGUUCCUGUGAUGGCAAAUCAAUGUUUAUAAUUGAGGAUACCCAAGAGGUACAGCCAGGAGAUGAGGCCAAAAGCUCAGAAAUAUCAGUUGACCGAAACCAACUGUGGAAGCUGAGUACAAGUUGAAUCCAUUAAGAAAAGAUCCUGACUAGUCUAUGAAUGAGAUAGAGGACCUGGGUCUUUCUUGGGUCCUGCCUCCUUGGAAUAGGAACACUUUAUUGCUCAUAAGCCUAGGCAAGGCAAACAUGCUUGAUCUCUGAAUGUCCAUAUACCUGCUUUGCAACCUCCUCUUAUUUUCUGUCCACCACUCCCCUGCUGCCCUGCCAUGUAUUCCAGGGUUCAGAUAGAAGAAACCUUAGUGUAGGUAUAGUGUUGGCACUGCAAUGGCCACACUAUCUCCCAGAGUCAUAAUGCAGGGACUGGAGUAAGCUGUUAAUAGCUGCUCCCAGAGUUGAGGCUUACUUAAGGGAACACCUUGUCUCUCUGCUUUCUACCUUUGUGUUUAAGUCCCCUUGGUGCUGGGUGAAUGGGAAGUUGCUACCUGGGAGGGUCUAUGGUAAGGAGUAGGAACCCAUGGUCUCACUGGAUAUCCAGAUUGUGAACAGAAGGAGAGGCAGAGGUUAGUACCAGGGAAGUGGCCAAGCAGAUCCUGCCUCAGGCUAUAGACAGGAAAGUAACCCACAAGGCUAGAAUCUGGGAAGGCUGGGAACUUGUAAAGAAAAAAAAGUGUGAGGGGGGUAGACAAAAAGGUAUAGGACAAAGGCUGAAGGUGUUAGGGUACAUAUGCCCAGGUACAUGUGGUAAUGACUGCUGAAUGGGUGAGCUGGAUGGGUUCAGAUGGUUUUCCAGGCCCUUCCCCAGAAGCUCCAGAAGACUAAAAUUGCCCCUUCUUUCCCAGUGAUAGCAAAUAAUCAAUAAUUAUUUAUUAUAAUGAUAAUUAUAAGAUAAUUACCUUAGUAAUUAUAAUAAUAAAUACUAUAUAAAUAACAAAUGGAAAUUUGCCUUCUGAUGCCAUUUUGAGGUUGUGGUACUUUUUAGUAGGCAAAAUUCACCCAAAUCCAGUGAAAUGAAUUCCAGUACCUUAAAAAUUUUUGAAAAAAAAAUUUUUUUUUUGAAAAAAUAUGUUGAUGCGAGCCUGCCCUUGUUAACCUCAUCUUGAGGCCAGAAGAGGGCAUGCAGUUGUAAAAACAAGUUUGGUAUCCUUGUCCCUUUACAGCCUGGUUCCUUGACUGGAGACUAUAAUAUCAUGGAACCUAGAGGAAAACAAGGCUAAAAGGAAAUAAGGGAUGGUGUUAGGGCAAGAUUAUCCCAUCUUCUAUCACUGUCCUCUCAUAAAACCUGUUCUCCUGGCACAGUCUUGCCAAAAACAUGCUGACCAAUGCUUAGGGUACAAGUCAGGAGCAACGCAUGGGCAAUCAUGCAGGAUAAUGGUGGGGACUAGAUGAUUUGUCCUCAAAGUCAGACAUAAUGUCCUCUCACCUCUGUGCACAUCAGGACACUUGCAGAGCACUGUCUGUACCCCGAAUGGGAUACUUUAGAAGUCUUAGCUGCUUCGAAGUAGCAAACAAAACCCAAACAAGAUUUUAAAUUAAUUUCUAUGCCUCCUUGGCAGCUAUCAUGUUAAACGCAGUAAAUAUCUGGGGUAAACCUAGUAGUCACAGAGGAAAAUGAUAUCUCACACAUCUAUUUUGUAAUUAUUGCACAAAGUUUGCCACAUCCCUCAUGUUGAAUAUCACAUAGUUAAAUUGAUUAUCACUCCAGUUGAACAUGAUGAUCUGUAAUUAAAUUAUUAGUCAUUGUUCUGUUGCAUAAAAAUAUUUGGUUUCUCAACUUACAAAGUCUGUAACAAAGGUUGCUGGCUUGCAAGUUGAUAUUUACCAAUGACUUAUGCAAGGUUGUAAAAAAUUAAUUAGCAAAGGCUAAAGAAAAGAGUGAAUAAUUUGAGACAUUAUCAGGUCCUCUGUUUAAAAAAAAAAAAAAAAAAAACAGCCUUUAGAAACAUUAGAUUCAGGUUCUAAUAGAAUAAACCAAAAGAGCAUUUGCUUCCUUAACAACUAAGCACUAGAACUCUGCAGUCCUCUGGCAUAUAUUAACCAUGCUUAAAAUUCCCUCUCUGUGCUGCAGAGGCCAUAUUGACAGAGCAAAUAAAGCUGAGAAGGUGGCUAUCCUAUCCCCCUUAAUGUUUUUGCUCUGCACUUUCCUUUCCCUCUCUCCAUUGCCUGCUAUCUUGUUCUCAUCCUUCUCCAACCCCCUCCACGCUUCCUUAUGUUCCCUUCUAGCCAUGU
This 5099-nucleotide long non-coding RNA is filed under the name Canis lupus familiaris (dog). RNAcentral's name for it is "lncRNA (ENSCAFG00000051368.1)". The record is from RNAcentral. Lineage: Eukaryota; Metazoa; Chordata; Mammalia; Carnivora; Canidae.